UCCUACGGGGGGCAGCAGUGAGGGAUAUUGGUCAAUGGGGGAAACCCUGAACCAGCAACGCCGCGUGAGGGAAGACGGUUUUCGGAUUGUAAACCUCUGUCCUCUGUGAAGAUAAUGACGGUAGCAGAGGAGGAAGCUCCGGCUAACUACGUGCCAGCAGCCGCGGUAAUACGUAGGGAGCAAGCGUUAUCCGGAAUUAUUGGGUGUAAAGGGUGCGUAGACGGGACAGCAAGUUAGUUGUGAAAGCCCUCGGCUUAACUGAGGAACUGCAACUAAAACUAUUGUUCUUGAGUGCAGGAGAGGAA
This 305-nucleotide ribosomal RNA is filed under the name uncultured bacterium. RNAcentral's name for it is "bacterial SSU rRNA". It matches the Rfam family "Bacterial small subunit ribosomal RNA", at positions 337 to 659 of the family's 1533-position model. The record is from RNAcentral.